Molecule: transfer RNA, 65 nt
Filed under: Dipodomys ordii (Ord's kangaroo rat)
Lineage: Eukaryota; Metazoa; Chordata; Mammalia; Rodentia; Heteromyidae
Rfam family: tRNA
About the family: Transfer RNA (tRNA) molecules are approximately 80 nucleotides in length. Their secondary structure includes four short double-helical elements and three loops (D, anti-codon, and T loops).
Source: Rfam by way of RNAcentral
GGUAGCUCAGUGGUAGAGUGCAUGCCUUGCAAGCAUGAAGCCCUGGGUUCAAUUCCUCAGUACCA